RNAcentral lists this ribosomal RNA (447 nucleotides) under uncultured bacterium. RNAcentral's name for it is "partial 16S ribosomal RNA". It matches the Rfam family "Bacterial small subunit ribosomal RNA", at positions 29 to 523 of the family's 1533-position model. The record is from RNAcentral.
AGCGAACGCUGGCGGCAGGCCUAACACAUGCAAGUCGAGCGCCCCGCAAGGGGAGCGGCAGACGGGAGAGUAACACGUGGGAACGUACCCUUUGGUUCGGAACAACCCAGGGAAACUUGGGCUAAUACCGAAUAAGCCCUUACGGGGAAAGAUUUAUCGCCGAAGGAUCGGCCCACGUCUGAUUAGCUAGUUGGUGAGGUAACGGCUCACCAAGGCGACGAUCAGUAGCUGGUCUGAGAGGAUGAUCAGCCUCACUGGGACUGAGACACGGCCCAGACUCCUACGGGAGGCAGCAGUGGGGAAUAUCGGACAAUGGGCGCAAGCCUGAUCCAGCCAUGCCGCGUGGGUGAUGAAGGCCCUAGGGUUGUAAAGCCCUUUCGGCGGGGAAGAUAAUGACGGUACCCGCAGAAGAAGCCCCGGCUAACUUCGUGCCAGCCGCCGCCGUAA